This is a long non-coding RNA of Xiphophorus couchianus (Monterrey platyfish), 344 nucleotides long. RefSeq lists it as uncharacterized. The transcript is spliced from 4 exons. Lineage: Eukaryota; Metazoa; Chordata; Actinopteri; Cyprinodontiformes; Poeciliidae. The record is from RefSeq and is a predicted model, not a curated record.
CUUCAUCCUGCCUUCUACACAACCUCCAUUUGAUUUUGAUACAUUUUAAAGAAUGAAGUGCAGUGUGAUCAUUUUUGUGCUGUCCGCGGUUGUCCUUGUGGCUCAACCUGGAGAAGGUUUUUUACACCUCCUCCCUGGCAUCAUCAAAGAUGUUGGUCAUGGUAUUAAUGGCCUUGCUCACCUCAUUCAUGGGCCUGGAGACAAUGAAGUACAAGCAGACCAGCAGCAACUGGCCCAGCAGGAAGUGGACCAGCAGGAAAUGGACCAGCAGGACAAAGACCAGCUGCAAAUUCAAAAACGUUCAUUUCAGCAACACAAGGCUUUGCAGCGUCAUUAGGCAUCGA